This is a long non-coding RNA of Hyla sarda, 945 nucleotides long. RefSeq lists it as uncharacterized. NCBI's taxonomy places the organism in Eukaryota, Metazoa, Chordata, Amphibia, Anura, Hylidae. The transcript is spliced from 4 exons. The record is from RefSeq and is a predicted model, not a curated record.
CUAUGGGCAACUGCACCACUCUUCCUCUGCACAGGCACAAAUAAUACAAGUUUAUGGAGGAGGGAGCUCUGCCCACCAGCUCUGGGAGAAUUGCAAACUUUAGAUGAAGCCUGCAGAGCAGAAAUCCAUGUUCAAGCUAUAUAAUGGGAAGUAAUAGUACUGCUCCUCAGGACAGUGCACUCUGGAAAGUCACCUGAAAUGACAGUAUGCUGAAGUAAUAUGUCUCGUAAGGCAGCAGGAUACUUUAAAAUACAUUUCGGAAUCCAAUUUGGAAUUGAAUUCAACAGCUGACUAGACCAAAUCAGACCCCAAAGAUUUUGGAAAAUGAGCUCUUCUUCUAAACAUAUGCAAGCAUGGGAAGAACAUACAAACCCCAUGCAGAAUUUGUCCUCGUUCUAACUCAAACCCAGGACACCAUUAGAAGAACAUACAAACUCCAUGAAGAUGUAUACAGCUGUCUGCUGCUAACAGCAGGCUGCAAAUUCAUUAAUCUGCCGAGUAACAGGUGAAGAACAUGCUGGACAGGAAGACGGUGCGGAUGAAAAUCUGUUCCCGGUAAUUGCCUAUCACAUAUUAACUCCGGCACCAGAGGAGGAACUUUACAGAACAAACAUCUGGAUUGCUUUUAGGGUAAUCUGUUUUUUACCCUUUUGCCUUUCUGGCCUAUCCUUUCCACUUUUAACUGUUUGUAAUUAGAGCAGCUAAUAAUUCUGUUGCUCUUACUGCAUACGAUAUACAACCCUCUCUAGGCAUUAACAUAUUGGAGGUUUAAGGCUUAAAAUCUAGAAAUAAAUUAACCCGCUCAAGGACACCUCUUUCUGUGUCCCCAUCUCAUUUUAGAAGUUUACACUGUUCAUAGCUCUUUUAGUGUAGAAAUCCUAUUUAUAAGGUGGAGCAACACACCAGCUUUGGGGCCCUUGCAAUGCUUAUCCACCCUCUGCCAUC